Molecule: ribosomal RNA, 560 nt
Filed under: uncultured bacterium
Lineage: Bacteria
Description: partial 16S ribosomal RNA
Rfam family: Bacterial small subunit ribosomal RNA
Source: RNAcentral
UGGGGAAUUUUGGACAAUGGGCGAAAGCCUGAUCCAGCAAUGCCGCGUGUGUGAAGAAGGCCUUCGGGUUGUAAAGCACUUUUGUCCGGAAAGAAAACGCCGUGGUUAAUACCCGUGGCGGAUGACGGUACCGGAAGAAUAAGCACCGGCUAACUACGUGCCAGCAGCCGCGGUAAUACGUAGGGUGCAAGCGUUAAUCGGAAUUACUGGGCGUAAAGCGUGCGCAGGCGGUCCGCUAAGACAGAUGUGAAAUCCCCGGGCUUAACCUGGGAACUGCAUUUGUGACUGGCGGGCUAGAGUAUGGCAGAGGGGGGUAGAAUUCCACGUGUAGCAGUGAGAUGCGUAGAGAUGUGGAGGAAUACCGAUGGCGAAGGCAGCCCCCUGGGCCAAUACUGACGCUCAUGCACGAAAAGCGUGGGGAGCAAACAGGAUUAGAUACCCUGGUAGUCCACGCCCUAAACGAUGUCAACUAGUUGUCGGGUCUUCAUUGACUUGGUAACGUAGCUAACGCGUGAAGUUGACCGCCUGGGGAGUACGGUCGCAAGAUUAAAAACUCAAAU